RNAcentral lists this ribosomal RNA (648 nucleotides) under Gomphus pleurobrunnescens. Its description in RNAcentral is "Gomphus pleurobrunnescen partial large subunit ribosomal RNA". It matches the Rfam family "Eukaryotic large subunit ribosomal RNA", at positions 37 to 655 of the family's 3401-position model. Lineage: Eukaryota; Fungi; Basidiomycota; Agaricomycetes; Gomphales; Gomphaceae. The record is from RNAcentral.
AGCAUAUCAAUAAGCGGAGGAAAAGAAACUAACAAGGAUUCCCCUAGUAACUGCGAGUGAAGCGGGAAGAGCUCAAAUUUGAAAUCUGGCGGCCUGUGGCCGUCCGAGUUGUAAUCUGGAGAAGCGUCUUCCGCGCCGGAACCGUGUACAAGUCCCUUGGAACAGGGCGUCACAGAGGGUGAGAAUCCCGUCUUUGACACGGACUGCCGGUGCUUUGCGAUGCGCUCUCGAAGAGUCGAGUUGUUUGGGAAUGCAGCUCAAAGCGGGUGGUAAAUUCCAUCUAAAGCUAAAUAUUGGCGAAAGACCGAUAGCGAACAAGUACCGUGAGGGAAAGAUGAAAAGCACUUUGGAAAGAGAGUUAAACAGUACGUGAAAUUGUUGAAAGGGAAGCGCUUGAAGUCAGUCGCGUCUCCCAGGACUCAGCCGAGCGCCUGCUUGGUGCAUUUCCUGGGCUUGGACGGGCCAGCAUCGAUUUUGACCGUUGGAGAAAGGCGUCGAGGAAUGUGGCACCCUCGGGUGUGUUUAUAGCCUCGCGUCGCAUAUGACGGUUGGGAUCGAGGAUUGCAGCACGCCCCCUCCGGGGGGUCGGGGUUCGCCCACGUUAACGUGCUUGGGAUGCUGGCGUAAUGGCUUUAAGCGACCCGUCUU